Molecule: ribosomal RNA, 460 nt
Filed under: uncultured bacterium
Lineage: Bacteria
Description: partial 16S ribosomal RNA
Rfam family: Bacterial small subunit ribosomal RNA
Source: RNAcentral
CCUACGGGAGGCAGCAGUGAGGAAUAUUGGUCAAUGGACGAGAGUCUGAACCAGCCAAGUAGCGUGAAGGAUGACUGCCCUAUGGGUUGUAAACUUCUUUUAUAUGGGAAUAAAAUGUUCCACGUGUGGGAUUUUGUAUGUACCAUAUGAAUAAGGAUCGGCUAACUCCGUGCCAGCAGCCGCGGUAAUACGGAGGAUCCGAGCGUUAUCCGGAUUUAUUGGGGUUAAAGGGAGCGUAGGUGGAUUGUUAAGUCAGUUGUGAAAGUUUGCGGCUCAACCGUAAAGUUGCAGUUGAAACUGGCAGUCUUGAGUACAGUAGAGGUGGGCGGAAUUCGUGGUGUAGCGGUGAAAUGCUUAGAUAUCACGAAGAACACCGAUUGCGAAGGCAGUUCACUGGACUGCAACUGACACUGAGGCACGAAAGUGUGGGUAUCAAACAGGAUUAGAUACCCGGGUAGUC